GGCAAAACCCUGCCCUUUCUCUCUCUACAUCAUCUCGUCCUAAAAUGGAAAAGAUUCAGUGGUCUUCAGCUUUUACAGAUCGUGCAUGAUCGAUUGAGGAAAGAGCAUUUAAUGCUCCGUCAUUCCUGCAUAGCAUUCAGCCACGAAGAGGAGGAGCAAAGAUUUCAACUCCAAAUCUCGACAAGGGUUGUGGAUAAGAAAGGUAGACAAGGAAAUGGCACAGAUCCUUAGGCUGCCCUUCAGCGUUGGUCCAAGAGCACUCCAUUGUUCCGGAGUUGCAGCUCGGAGUGGUUUGAUUCUUUUGUGUAUAUAUAGGCAUGGUGGGGUCCUGUCCCGUCCUUACUACGUUAUGUAUUCUAUGUAGAGUCUCGUAGACAGAU
Lycium barbarum (goji berry) is the source of this 380-nucleotide long non-coding RNA. RefSeq lists it as uncharacterized. The record is from RefSeq and is a predicted model, not a curated record. The transcript is spliced from 3 exons. Lineage: Eukaryota; Viridiplantae; Streptophyta; Magnoliopsida; Solanales; Solanaceae.